Molecule: ribosomal RNA, 117 nt
Organism: Cavia aperea (Brazilian guinea pig)
Lineage: Eukaryota; Metazoa; Chordata; Mammalia; Rodentia; Caviidae
Source: Ensembl
GUCUACGGCGAUACCACCCUGAACGCUCCCGAUCUCCUCUGAUCUCGGAAGCUAAGCAGGGUCGGGCCUGGUUAGUACUUGGAUGGGAGUCCAUAUGGAUAGUAUCUCCCACAGGUC